UCGCCUGUUUUAUCAAAAACAUAUCUUAUCGAUAUCAUAAUAAGUAAAACCUGCUCAAUGUAAUUAUAAAUAGCCGCAGAAUUUUUACUGUGCUAAGGUAGCAUAAUCAUUAGUCUUUUAAUUGAAGACUCGUAUGAAAGGUUACACAAUUUAAUUUCUUUAUUAAAUCUAUUAAAACUAAAUUAUUUUAAUCAUAAAAAAAUGAUUAUUAACUAAUUAGACGACAAGACCCUAUUGAACUUAACUUAAGUUAAGCUGGGGCAGCUAACUAAUUACCAUUUUAGAAUUUAACCUUAAAUAAAAGACCCAGUAUAACUGAGUAUAUGAUCAAUGUUACCAUAGGGAUAACAGCGUAAUUUCUUUUUAAAGCUCUCAUUAAAUAAGAAGAUUGCGACCUC
This 398-nucleotide ribosomal RNA is filed under the name Artifex melanopyga. RNAcentral's name for it is "partial large subunit ribosomal RNA". It matches the Rfam family "Bacterial large subunit ribosomal RNA", at positions 1796 to 2527 of the family's 2925-position model. The record is from RNAcentral. Lineage: Eukaryota; Metazoa; Arthropoda; Arachnida; Araneae; Araneidae.